Molecule: ribosomal RNA, 952 nt
Filed under: uncultured bacterium
Lineage: Bacteria
Description: bacterial SSU rRNA
Rfam family: Bacterial small subunit ribosomal RNA
Source: RNAcentral
GAGGAAAGUUUUUUCGCUAUGGGAGAAGUUUAUUUCCGAUUAGUUUGUUGGUGGGGUAAUGGCCUACCAAGACUACGAUUGGUAGCUGGUCUGAGAGGAUGAACAGCCACACUGGAACUGAGACACGGCCCAGACUCCUACGGGAGGCUGCAGCAGGGAAUAUUGCGCAAUGAGCGAAAGCUUGACGCAGCGACACCGCGUGUGGGAUGACGGAUCUAGGUUUGUAAACCACUUUCAGGAGGGAAGAAAAUGACGGUACCUCCACAAGAAGCCCCGGCCAACUACGUGCCAGCAGCCGCGGUAAUACGUAGGGGGCGAGCGUUGUCCGGAUUUAUUGGGCGUAAAGAGCUCGUAGGCGGUUCAACAAGUCGGUCGUGAAAGUUCAGGGCUCAACCCUGAAAUGUCGAUCGAUACUGUUGUGACUAGGAUACGGUAGAGGUGAGUGGAAUUCCGAGUGUAGAGGUGAAAUUCGUAGAUAUUAGGAGGAACACCAGUGGCGAAGGCGACUCUCUGGGCCAAUACUGACGCUGAGGUUCGAAAGCAUGGGUAGCGAACAGGAUUAGAUACCCUGGUAGUCCAUGCAGUAAACGAUGAGUGCUAGAUGUUGGGAAUUUUAAUUUCCAGUAUCGCAGUUAACGCGUUAAGCACUCCGCCUGGGAAGUACGGCCGCAAGGCUAAAACUCAAAUGAAUUGACGGGGACCCGCACAAGCGGUGGAUCAUGUGGUUUAAUUCGAAGAUACGCGAAGAACCUUACCGGCCCUUGACAUACCAAUCGCGGACUUAAGAGAUUAAGUCUUUCACUUCGGGUGGAUUGGAUACAGGUGCUGCAUGGCUGUCGUCAGCUCGUGUCGUGAGAUGUUGGGUUAAGUCCCGCAACGAGCGCAACCCACGUUUUUAGUUGCCAGCAUUUAGUUGGGCACUCUAGAAAGACCGCCGGUGAUAAACCGGAGG